This 63-nucleotide transfer RNA is filed under the name Fusarium pseudograminearum CS3220. RNAcentral describes it as "tRNA-Ser". Lineage: Eukaryota; Fungi; Ascomycota; Sordariomycetes; Hypocreales; Nectriaceae. The record is from RNAcentral. RNAcentral also lists the same sequence under 4 other names.
GGUUUUGUAGCAGGAGAAGGGUGUUUUAGUAUUAGAAUUACUAAAUCGUUAACUUUAAAAACA